UCAUGAGGGAAGAAUGUAAAUGACCACUGCAGGAAAUAGCAGGAGCAUCUACAAGUAGUUAUAGAAGAUAUGGAAGAAGAGCUGUAACAAAGUUUUAACGGAAAUCAACAAGGAUCACUUGUGAAAUAUUAAUUUCCGCAAGCAUCAACAAGAGCCAAUAAAUUUAAGAAAACAACGACAGAUAAAUACUAAAGUACUAUAACUAAUCCGCAAAUAUAAAUUUCUUAUUUUUCUCGUAGCAUCAGUUGUUAGGGUCACAACGUUGAAAAAUGAAGUGCUAUUCAAUAUUCUCUUAUUUUACUCAUGAUAGAUUGUCCAAAGAUUCAUUGAGCUAGUUGAUUAGAAGCUUUAUGUCACUAUGACAAAAAGCACCUAGAGCAACUUCAAACUUACAUUCUCAAUUUGUCCACAAAAACCAGUCACUUCUGCAUAUGCAGGUUAAAAUGAUAUAUACACAUAUAACUUACUUCAUAUUCCAUCCCCGCUCAAAAAAAAACAAGGACAAGAUUCUGAAGCAAGAACAAAAGAAAAGAGAAACAAUGUUGAAGCAAAGCUGCAAAGGCACACAGUUUCUAGCCCAAGCACACGAAAGUCAACAAGCAUGGUAGUGGCAAACAAUUGAAUCGGACAUUCAGUGAAAUUGAGAAAAUGAAGGAUU
Ipomoea nil (Japanese morning glory) is the source of this 658-nucleotide long non-coding RNA. RefSeq lists it as uncharacterized. The record is from RefSeq and is a predicted model, not a curated record. The transcript is spliced from 2 exons. NCBI's taxonomy places the organism in Eukaryota, Viridiplantae, Streptophyta, Magnoliopsida, Solanales, Convolvulaceae.